This 303-nucleotide ribosomal RNA is filed under the name uncultured bacterium. RNAcentral describes it as "bacterial SSU rRNA". It matches the Rfam family "Bacterial small subunit ribosomal RNA", at positions 355 to 675 of the family's 1533-position model. The record is from RNAcentral.
UGGGGAAUAUUGGACAAUGGGGGAAACCCUUAUCCAGCGACGCCGCGUGAGGGAAGAAGGUUUUCGGAUUGUAAACCUCUGUCAGCGGGGACGAUAAUGACGGUACCCGCGGAGGAAGCCACGGCUAACUACGUGCCAGCAGCCGCGGUAAUACGUAGGUGGCAAGCGUUGUCCGGAAUUACUGGGUGUAAAGGGAGCGUAGGCGGGGUAUCAAGUCAGAAGUGAAAAUUACGGGCUCAACUCGUAACCUGCUUUUGAAACUGAUACUCUUGAGUGAAGUAGAGGCAAGCGGAAUUCCUAGUG